GACAGAGGGUGCAAACGUUGUUCGGAAUUACUGGGCGUAAAGCGCGUGUAGGCGGCCCUGCAAGUCGGAUGUGAAAUCCCACGGCUCAACCGUGGAAGUGCAUUCGAAACUGCAGGGCUAGAGCCCUGGAGAGGAAGGUGGAAUGCUUGGUGUAGAGGUGAAAUUCGUAGAUAUCAAGCGGAACACCGGUGGCGAAGGCGGCCUUCUGGACAGUGACUGACGCUGAGACGCGAAAGCGUGGGGAGCAAACAGG
Molecule: ribosomal RNA, 253 nt
Filed under: uncultured bacterium
Lineage: Bacteria
Description: partial 16S ribosomal RNA
Rfam family: Bacterial small subunit ribosomal RNA
Source: RNAcentral